GGGGUUGUAGUCAACUAUGAUAUUUGAUUUGCAUUCAAGUGGUGUUCUUCCUAGGACCAUCCUCA
RNAcentral lists this transfer RNA (65 nucleotides) under Aristeus virilis. RNAcentral describes it as "tRNA-Ala". The record is from RNAcentral. Lineage: Eukaryota; Metazoa; Arthropoda; Malacostraca; Decapoda; Aristeidae.